Molecule: transfer RNA, 74 nt
Filed under: Mycobacterium phage DuncansLeg
Lineage: Duplodnaviria; Heunggongvirae; Uroviricota; Caudoviricetes; Vilmaviridae
Also listed under: 1 other name
Description: tRNA-Lys
Rfam family: tRNA
About the family: Transfer RNA (tRNA) molecules are approximately 80 nucleotides in length. Their secondary structure includes four short double-helical elements and three loops (D, anti-codon, and T loops).
Source: RNAcentral
GCCGCGUUAGCUCAGUUGGUAGAGCUGCUGACUUUUAAUCAGUAGGUCCGGGGUUCGAGUCCCCGACGCGGUAC